Molecule: small nuclear RNA, 107 nt
Organism: Jaculus jaculus (lesser Egyptian jerboa)
Lineage: Eukaryota; Metazoa; Chordata; Mammalia; Rodentia; Dipodidae
Source: RefSeq, a predicted model, not a curated record
AUGUUUCAAAAGCAUAUAUACUAAAAUUAGAAUUAUAUAGAGAAGAUUAACUAGCAUUUCCCCUGAGCAAAUAUGACAUAUUUUUAAUUUAGCUUUAACAUUAGCUA